Molecule: transfer RNA, 55 nt
Filed under: Drepanocladus longifolius
Lineage: Eukaryota; Viridiplantae; Streptophyta; Bryopsida; Hypnales; Amblystegiaceae
Also listed under: 1 other name
Description: partial tRNA-Phe
Rfam family: tRNA (bases 8-55)
About the family: Transfer RNA (tRNA) molecules are approximately 80 nucleotides in length. Their secondary structure includes four short double-helical elements and three loops (D, anti-codon, and T loops).
Source: RNAcentral
CAAAAAAGCCGGAAUAGCUCAGUUGGUAGAGCAGAGGACUGAAAAUCCUCGUGUC